UGGGGAAUUUUGGACAAUGGGCGAAAGCCUGAUCCAGCAAUGCCGCGUGUGUGAAGAAGGCCUUCGGGUUGUAAAGCACUUUUGUCCGGAAAGAAAUCCUUGGCUCUAAUACAGUCGGGGGAUGACGGUACCGGAAGAAUAAGCACCGGCUAACUACGUGCCAGCAGCCGCGGUAAUACGUAGGGUGCAAGCGUUAAUCGGAAUUACUGGGCGUAAAGCGUGCGCAGGCGGUUUGCUAAGACCGAUGUGAAAUCCCCGGGCUCAACCUGGGAACUGCAUUGGUGACUGGCAGGCUAGAGUAUGGCAGAGGGGGGUAGAAUUCCACGUGUAGCAGUGAAAUGCGUAGAGAUGUGGAGGAAUACCGAUGGCGAAGGCAGCCCCCUGGGCCAAUACUGACGCUCAUGCACGAAAGCGUGGGGAGCAAACAGGAUUAGAUACCCUGGUAGUCCACGCCCUAAACGAUGUCAACUAGUUGUGGGGAUUCAUUCCUUAGUAACGUAGCUAACGCGUGAAGUUGACCGCCUGGGGAGUACGGUCGCAAGAUUAAAACUCAAUGAAUUGACGGGUCAUAGCUGUUCCU
This 580-nucleotide ribosomal RNA is filed under the name uncultured bacterium. RNAcentral describes it as "partial 16S ribosomal RNA". It matches the Rfam family "Bacterial small subunit ribosomal RNA", at positions 355 to 931 of the family's 1533-position model. The record is from RNAcentral.